RNAcentral lists this long non-coding RNA (1320 nucleotides) under Mus musculus (house mouse). RNAcentral describes it as "long non-coding RNA chr7:45881930-45883250". Lineage: Eukaryota; Metazoa; Chordata; Mammalia; Rodentia; Muridae. The record is from RNAcentral.
UUUUUGGUUUUUUUAAAUGGUGUGUGUGCACCUCCAUCCCAGAGAGAAGUUUGCUAUUUUUUUUAAAGAUUUAUUUAUUAUAUGUAAGUACACUGUAGCUUUCUUCAGACAUACCAGAAGAGGGUGUCAGAGCUCAUUAUGGAUGGUUGUGAGCCACCAUGUGGUUGCUGGGAAUUGAACUCAGGACCUUCGGAAGAGCAGUCAGUGCUCUUACCCGCUGAGCCAUCCAUCUCACCAGCCCCGAGGUUCAAGUUUUGACUCUCAGGCUGGAUUACCACAAGUGGAGACCAGGCAAAGCAGGGACUCUUGCCCAAAGUUCAUUAAUUCACAUUGUGUGAACUUUUGAGUAUCUGUGUGUCUAGGGCUCAGCUGUGGUGGAAACGGUAGUCGAGGCCCAUUCUUCCUUAGAUCCUACUGAGGAAGGUGGCACAUGAACUGUAAGGGAAAGCUCUGGCCAUGCGAGGAACACUGACUGGGGGAAGGCAGGCGUGCAUUCAUGGGGUGAUGAGUCUUAACCAGGGCCUAUGGACAUCUUAACACCAUGUUUAAGCAAAAACCUAAAGACCAGGAAUCAGUCUGUGAAGGCACAAUAACGCCAGGUCCGUUAUCCCAGCACCGUGGAGGCUAAGGCAGGUUUGUGUUGAGUUUCAUGCUAGCCUAAGCAUCACAAAAACACAGAGUCUGGGACAAUCAAGACAACAGUUUGGAGUUCAGGUUGUUCUCAGGCCUGAGAAUUAAGGCUUAGAACUUUGGAAGGGGUAGUCUUUGUCUAGUCAACCCUGCUAGUCUGUCUGCCCCUUUCUGUAGUGAUUCAGGUUUCUAGUCAGCACUACUGAAAACAAAGCAUGCUUGUGGCCGCCUCUGCUCAGGCCUUGUGUCAUGAUUCUUGUUCCACCCCUGGUUGAUGUAGACCCAACCUAGUAGUUCAGGAUGCAGAGUUCUGGGGCUUCCCUCUCCUCGUACAGCUCCCAGCGGCCCUUGCUCGGGGUGGGAGGUGCUCCUCUGUAGAGUGGUAGGUAAGGCCUACCUUGUCUCUCUCUCCACAGUCCUGAAGGGGAAGAAGCUGAGCUUGCCGGCAUAACCCUGGCCUCACCAGCCUUCUCUGAGGCAGGGCAGGAGGCAGAGGAAGGCUGCUGGAGCCCGAGAGCCUUCCAUCCAGAGCUGACUUUGUAAAGAGCUCGCCUCUCCUGGCUCCCCACCCCUCCAGCUGGGUUUUGGGGUCUAUGGACGACCCUGCUCCUGGGGAGCUCAGGACCUGAGCUGUUUGUAGCCUUUUGCCUUUUAGAGAAGAAAAACAAAAAACAAAUCUUUCCACUAUUU